This 887-nucleotide ribosomal RNA is filed under the name uncultured Bacteroidota bacterium. RNAcentral's name for it is "bacterial SSU rRNA". It matches the Rfam family "Bacterial small subunit ribosomal RNA", at positions 24 to 903 of the family's 1533-position model. The record is from RNAcentral. Lineage: Bacteria; Pseudomonadati; Bacteroidota.
UCAGGAUGAACGCUAGCGAUAGGCCUAACACAUGCAAGUCGAGGGGCAGCACAUGAAGUAGCAAUACGGAUGGUGGCGACCGGCGCACGGGUGAGUAACGCGUAUGCAACCUACCUACAACAGGGGGAUAACCCGUUGAAAGACGGACUAAUACCCCAUAAUACAGGGGUCCCGCAUGGGGAUAUUUGUUAAAGAUUAAUCGGUUGUAGAUGGGCAUGCGUUCCAUUAGCUGGUUGGUGAGGUAACGGCUCACCAAGGCAACGAUGGAUAGGGGAACUGAGAGGUUUAUCCCCCACACUGGUACUGAGACACGGACCAGACUCCUACGGGAGGCAGCAGUGAGGAAUAUUGGUCAAUGGACGCAAGUCUGAACCAGCCACGUCGCGUGAAGGAAGACGGCCCUACGGGUUGUAAACUUCUUUUGUAAGGGAAUAAAGUGAGUCACGUGUGACUUUUUGCAUGUACCUUACGAAUAAGGAUCGGCUAACUCCGUGCCAGCAGCCGCGGUAAUACGGAGGAUCCGAGCGUUAUCCGGAUUUAUUGGGUUUAAAGGGUGCGCAGGCGGGAGAUUAAGUCGGCGGUGAAAUUUUGCAGCUCAACUGUAAAAGUGCCAUCGAUACUGGUUUUCUUGAGUGUGGAUGAAGUAGGCGGAAUUUGUGGUGUAGCGGUGAAAUGCAUAGAUAUCACAAGGAACACCGAUUGCGCAGGCAGCUUACUAAACCAUAACUGACGCUCAGGCACGAAGGCGUGGGGAGCAAACAGGAUUAGAUACCCUGGUAGUCCACGCAGUAAACGAUGAUUACUAGCUGUUUGCGAUACAAUGUAAGCGGCUGAGCGAAAGCGUUAAGUAAUCCACCUGGGGAGNACGUUCGCAAGAAUGAAACUCA